UGGGGAAUAUUGGACAAUGGGCGGAAGCCUGAUCCAGCCAUGCCGCGUGUGUGAAGAAGGCCUUUUGGUUGUAAAGCACUUUAAGCGAGGAGGAGGCUACUUGGAUUAAUACUCUAGGAUAGUGGACGUUACUCGCAGAAUAAGCACCGGCUAACUCUGUGCCAGCAGCCGCGGUAAUACAGAGGGUGCGAGCGUUAAUCGGAUUUACUGGGCGUAAAGCGUGCGUAGGCGGCUUCUUAAGUCGGAUGUGAAAUCCCUGAGCUUAACUUAGGAAUUGCAUUCGAUACUGGGAAGCUAGAGUAUGGGAGAGGAUGGUAGAAUUCCAGGUGUAGCGGUGAAAUGCGUAGAGAUCUGGAGGAAUACCGAUGGCGAAGGCAGCCAUCUGGCCUAAUACUGACGCUGAGGUACAAAAGCAUGGGGAGCAAACAGG
RNAcentral lists this ribosomal RNA (430 nucleotides) under bacterium. RNAcentral's name for it is "partial 16S ribosomal RNA". It matches the Rfam family "Bacterial small subunit ribosomal RNA", at positions 355 to 776 of the family's 1533-position model. The record is from RNAcentral.